UACGACCAAAUCACGUUCAGACACCGGUUCUCGUACGAUCAAUGUAGUUAAGCAACGUCGGGCCUAGUUAAUAGCUAGAUGGGUGACCGCUUGAGAAUACCAGAUACUGAA
Molecule: non-coding RNA, 111 nt
Organism: Acanthosepion pharaonis
Lineage: Eukaryota; Metazoa; Mollusca; Cephalopoda; Sepiida; Sepiidae
Source: the annotation of a GenBank genome assembly